Long non-coding RNA from Arachis duranensis, 1492 nucleotides. RefSeq lists it as uncharacterized. The transcript has 4 exons. Lineage: Eukaryota; Viridiplantae; Streptophyta; Magnoliopsida; Fabales; Fabaceae. The record is from RefSeq and is a predicted model, not a curated record.
CAGGCCGCCGCCAUCGGGCCAUCGAACGGAGUUGAAAGAGACCGGAUCUGGUGGUACAAGAGAGCGACGCACGUGAGGGAGAGGAGGCGCCGCUACUGCUACCUCACCGUUGCCGAUUGAUGGAGGGGAAAAACACGUGACUCAGGGAUCCACCCAGGAGGGGCCACUAUUGCCACCGAUGAUGCGAGGAAGAGAAGAGCUACCGCACUAAAGCUGGUCGCUGGAAGAGAGGAGGUGACGGUGGUGGGAGUUGUCAUUACUGUUCUAUCUCUGCUCAUUGAAGAAUAACAAAAAAAUAUUGCUGCAGUUGUAGUUUGAAACCCCAUCUGGUUCUAGUUUUGGUUCUAGCCCGAUUUGUUUAGGCUGGUUUCGGUUCUUCUGAGUGCUGGAGUUGCCGCCGCUGUUCUGUUUCCAUAGGUCCCCUAAUUAUAAGUUGCUGUGGUAGCCGGGAAUUAUCACUGAAGCUGUUGGACUCGCAGUGGUUGCACCCAGGUUGCUGUUGCAUUAUCGGAGGCCGCAGCUAAGGCCUCUGUCUUCUUGGGUUUCAAUUGCCGCGAGUUACUUGGUUGCACGUCGUCGCCUAAAUUAGGCCAAAUUUACUGGACGGAUGCCCGGGUCUGAUUUCUGUUUUUUCUGCCACUGGGGGUAGACACCGAAGCUAUUCUUAAUGAUUCUGGUCGGGUAUCUUUUUCGAUUCUAGGCCAUUUACAUGUUUUACUGUCUUUUCCAUGCUUAUUUUGAUUUAAUUUUUGUAUAUGUCCUUGUCUGGGUUUCUUGAAGCUAUUUCAGCUACUGUAAUUGCAAAUUGUAAUAGUGUUGUCGCUAUAAGAGGCGUCAGAAUUGUUGCUGUUUUCGUUGGGUUAAUGCUGUCACUGUUGCAUGAAUUAAAAGGAAAGGGAAUUGUCACAAUAAGCUUAUGCGAACUCGACUAAUCGAGGGCAGGAAUGGUUUAGAGGAUAGAAAGGAAGCAUGCAAAAGUGGAAGGAAUACAAGAAGUUGAAGGAACUGCAAAGCUGUCCAGCCUGACCUCUUUGCACUCAAACGGUUAUAACUUUUGCUACAGAGGUCCAAAUGGCGCGGUUCUAGUUGCGUUGGAAAGCUAACAUUCGGGGCUUCGAUUUGAUAUAUAAUAUGCCAUAGUGGCCUUGAUGCUAGACGACGCGACCGCAUGCUCCAUGCGGCCGCAUCGCAGUGACGAAAAACCAGCGUGGCAGAUUUCUUCUCCAGCGAUUUCUGGGCUGUUUUCGACCCAGUUUUCGGCCCAGAAAACUCAUAUUAGAGGUUAUAAAGUAGAGGGAUUGCAUCCAUUCAUAAUCAUGCUUUUCAUAAUUCACUUUUCAUAAUUUAGAUGUAGGUUUAGUUGGAGAGAGGUUAUCUCCUCUCUCUUUAGGAUUAGGAUUUAGGACUUCUCUUAGUUUUAGGAGUAACUCUCGAUCCAAGUUCAAUAUUCCUUUUACUUGAUAGUUAUCUCUUAUUUUCAGAUACUUUAAUG